Molecule: unclassified non-coding RNA, 378 nt
Filed under: plant metagenome
Description: partial contains 5.8S ribosomal RNA, internal transcribed spacer 2, and large subunit ribosomal RNA
Rfam family: 5.8S ribosomal RNA (bases 1-105)
Source: RNAcentral
AAAAUGCGAUAAGUAAUGUGAAUUGCAGAAUUCAGUGAAUCAUCGAAUCUUUGAACGCACAUUGCGCCCGCCAGUAUUCUGGCGGGCAUGCCUGUUUGAGUAUCAUGAAAUCUUCAAAGUAAAUCUUUUGUUAACUCAAUUGGUUUCUACUUUGGUAUUGGAGGUCUUUGCAGCUUCACACCUGCUCCUCUUUGUUCAUUAGCUGGAUCUCAGUGUUAUGCUUGGUUCCACUCGGCGUGAUAAGUUAUCUAUCGCUGAGGACACUGUAAAAGGUGGCCAAGGUAAAUGCAGAUGAACCGCUUCUGAUAGUCCAUUGACUUGGACAAUACUUUUAUGAUCUGAUCUCAAAUCAGGUAGGACUACCCGCUGAACUUAAGC